Molecule: ribosomal RNA, 751 nt
Filed under: uncultured bacterium
Lineage: Bacteria
Description: bacterial SSU rRNA
Rfam family: Bacterial small subunit ribosomal RNA
Source: RNAcentral
ACGCGAAACCUUCCUUCGGGAGGGGAGUAGAGUGGCGCACGGGUGAGUAACACGUAGGUAAUUUGCCUUUGGGUGGGGAAUAACUCAGGGAAACUUGAGCUAAUACCGCAUAAUGCAGCGGCUCGACAUCGAGACAGUUGUUAAAGCGGGGGAUCGCAAGACCUCGCGCCUAAAGAGAAGCCUGCGGCAGAUUAGCUAGUUGGUAGGGUAAUGGCCUACCAAGGCGACGAUCUGUAACCGGCCUGAGAGGACGGUCGGUCACACUGACACUGACAUACGGGUCAGACUCCUACGGGAGGCAGCAGUCGGGAAUUUUGGGCAAUGGGCGAAAGCCUGACCCAGCAACGCCGCGUGAAGGAUGAAAUUUUUCGGAAUGUAAACUUCGCAAGAACGGGAAGAAUAAGUAGAAGCUAAUACCUUCUAUGAUGACGGUACCGUUUGUAAGCUCCGGCUAACUCCGUGCCAGCAGCCGCGGUAAUACGGGGGGAGCAAGCGUUGUUCGGAUUUACUGGGCGUAAAGGGCGCGUAGGCGGUCGUGACAAGUCACUUGUGAAAUCUCCGGGCUUAACUCGGAACGGUCAAGUGAUACUGUCGGACUAGAGUACAGAAGGGGCAACUGGAAUUCUCGGUGUAGCGGUGAAAUGCGUAGAUAUCGAGAGGAACACCUGCGGCGAAGGCGGGUUGCUGGGCUGAUACUGACGCUGAGGCGCGAAAGCCAGGGGAGCGAACGGGAUUAGAUACCCCGGUAGUC